RNAcentral lists this transfer RNA (58 nucleotides) under Capillaria sp. cat-2018. RNAcentral's name for it is "tRNA-Thr". The record is from RNAcentral. Lineage: Eukaryota; Metazoa; Nematoda; Enoplea; Trichinellida; Capillariidae.
UACUUUCUUUGCCUUAGAUUUACAAAAUCUAAAUUCUUAAAAUUUAAACUAUGAAAGU